This 363-nucleotide long non-coding RNA is filed under the name Bos taurus (domestic cattle). RNAcentral's name for it is "long non-coding RNA NONBTAT015415". The record is from RNAcentral. Lineage: Eukaryota; Metazoa; Chordata; Mammalia; Artiodactyla; Bovidae.
UUGCAGCGUUCAGUUUUCCUCCUUAGAUUUAAAAUUUUCCGUGCCUCCCAACUGCUCCUUACGCAAGCCUAGGACCCUCGGGCUGUCAGCCACACUCCCUCCUGCCCCUCAGAUGCAUCCCUGCUGCUAAGAGACUUGGAACCCCAAGGUGAACCCUUGGGCGCUGUGGGGAGACCCACGCUGAUCAAACCCGGGCGGACUGCUGACCCUGGAACCCCGGCCAUGAGUCCCAGGAGCCCAGGGGCGACUGGCUGCAUGAAUACAGUUCAGAUGACUAGAACUGCGACAGAUGAGGGGUUGGACUUUUGCGGGGUGGCCCACCCUCAAGGGGUCGGGGGCAUUUAAAAAUAUAAAAGAUUAUUG